AGUCGAACGCGCCUAGCGAUAGGCGAGUGGCGGACGGGUGAGUAACGCGUGGGAACCUGCCCUUGAGUGCGGGAUAACCGAGGGAAACUUCGGCUAAUACCGCAUGCGCCCCCUCACGGGGGGAAAGAUUUAUCGCUCGAGGAGGGGCCCGCGUCGGAUUAGCUAGUUGGUGGGGUAACGGCCUACCAAGGCGAUGAUCCGUAGCUGGUCUGAGAGGAUGAUCAGCCACACUGGGACUGAGACACGGCCCAGACUCCUACGGGAGGCAGCAGUAGGGAAUAUUGGACAAUGGGGGCAACCCUGAUCCAGCAAUGCCGCGUGAGUGAUGAAGGCCUUAGGGUUGUAAAGCUCUUUCGCACGCGACGAUGAUGACGGUAGCGUGAGAAGAAGCCCCGGCUAACUUCGUGCCAGCAGCCGCGGUAAUACGAAGGGGGCGAGCGUUGUUCGGAAUUACUGGGCGUAAAGGGCGCGCAGGCGGCCGAUCAAGUCAGGCGUGAAAGCCCCGGGCUUAACCUGGGAAUUGCGCUUGGGACUGAUGGGCUUGAGUUCGGGAGAGGAGAGUGGAAUUCCCAGUGUAGAGGUGAAAUUCGUAGAUAUUGGGAAGAACACCGGUGGCGAAGGCGGCUCUCUGGACCGAUACUGACGCUGAGGCGCG
RNAcentral lists this ribosomal RNA (655 nucleotides) under uncultured Alphaproteobacteria bacterium. Its description in RNAcentral is "bacterial SSU rRNA". It matches the Rfam family "Bacterial small subunit ribosomal RNA", at positions 60 to 755 of the family's 1533-position model. Lineage: Bacteria; Pseudomonadati; Pseudomonadota; Alphaproteobacteria. The record is from RNAcentral.